UUUUGGGCCCUGCAUUACGCGUAUGGCUCCACCUAUAUGCAUUUGCGCACUUUUUACACUGAGUCAUACGCGUAUGGCCCAGGGUAGGGUGUAUGGUCCAGCUUAAGCCAACACAUAAGGCCUUUGGUUGCGUAGAGGGGGCCUGGUUGGCUGGCCUCAUACGCGUAUGGGCCUUUCCCAUACGCGUAUGAGCAUAAACUUGAAUUUCGCCUCCCUCCCGCUAUUACGCAUAUGAUGGGAGGUGAUGUUGAAUGGCCAUACGCAUAUGAGAUGACUCAUACACAUAUGGGCAGGAAACAUGCAUUUUAUCUCUUUUUCUCCUGCUCAUGCAUUGUCGUCUGAUUUCUUCUCUAAUCCAGCUCCUCUUUACUCUUAAGCCCUGUAAACACAUGAAACACUACCUCAAGCGCGUAAAAUAGCUCAAAACUACUAAAACCUUACCAGAUCAAGUUUCUAUAAAAAUCUACCAAAAUAAGCUGAAACUACUGCCCAAACUCACAAUAAUUCACAUGCUUUUAACAUUCAAAUGACAUCAAAACUAACACAAAUGGUGAUUGGUCAUUUUUUAAGUAAUAUCUAUCUAAAUUCAAGUAACUCUCUGAUCUUGUGAAACCUCACAUCUAUAUGCUUGGUUCUGGGAUGAUAUACCUUAUUGUUUAUCAAAUAAAUGGCACUCUAACUAUCACAUUACAAUCAAGUUCCACUUUACUCAAUACCUAAUUCUCUCACCAAUCUUGUAAUCCAUAAGGCUUCUUUGGCAGCUUCACCUGCUACCAUGUACUUUACUUCACUUAUUAACAUGGCCUAUAUGAAUUGAACCAAUGAUUUCCAACAAAUAGUCAUCAUGCUAAAGUAAAUACAUGCCUUAUUAUAGACCUUAUAUCAUCCAUAUCACCAACAUAGUCUGAAUCAACAUAUCCUACAAUUAAAGGAUCACCUUUGUUCACUACUAAACAUGAUACCAUAACUCAUAGUACCCUUUAAGUACAUGAAAAUCCACUUGACAACUUUCCAAUGACAAUUUCCUGGUUUGGACAUAAACUUACAAACUUGACUUACAACCUGUGCCAAAUCUAGUAUAGUGUAUACCAUAAUGUAUAUUAUACAACCAACAACUAGCAUAAGGGACAUUUGACAUGUACUCAGAUUGUUCAUAUGUCUUUGGACACUUAUCCAAUGAGAGCUUAAAGUGAUUUGCCAAUGGAUUACUCAUAGCCUUCGAAUUACUCAUGUCAAACUUGUCUAACACCUUUUUAACAUAGCUUUUCUGCGAGACCCAUAAUUUUCUAGCACUCAUAUCCCUGUAAAUUUCCGUACCGAGAAUCUUCUUAGUAAUACCUAAGUCUUUCAUGUCAAACUCAUUUCCCAACACGAUUUUCAGUUCAUUUUUAUCAUGUAAAUGAUUAGUAACAAUCAAUAUAUUAUCAACAUACAGUAACAGGAAAAUAAAAGAGCCAUCAUCAAGGAUUCUAACAUAAACACAAUGGUCAUACUGAUACCUUAUGUAGCUAAUCUUAAGCAUGUAUGAAUCAAAGAUCUUGUACCAUUUUCCUUGUAGAUUUAUUUAAACCAUACAUAUACCUCUUCAAUUUAUAAACUAGUCUUCCAUAUUCAGUUUCACAGAAUCCCUCUGGCUGUCCCAUGUAAAUUUGUUCAUCUAAAUUACCGUGAAGAAAUGUUGUCUCCACAUUCAUCUACUUUAAAUGCAUGUCUCGGCUAGCUACCAAGACUACUUCCCUGGUAUAAGUAUUUCUAACAAGCAGAGAUAAAAUGUCAUCAUAAUAAAUCCCUUAUAUUAUGAGUACCCCUUUACUACAAGACAAGCCUUGAACUUUUCCAUUUGUUUUUCUAUUACUGUUGGUUUUCUCUUGAACACCCAUAUACAAACAUGACCAUUUUUCCUUAAGAAGCUGAGCAAGCUCCCAUGCCUGAGUUUUCUUCAAGAACUCUAUCUCAUCCACCAUUGCACUCAUCCACUUAUAUUUAUCCUAUAUAACUAUAACCUAUCUAAAGGUAUAAAGGUCUCCAUAACUAGUAAUAAGUGCAUAGUCUGCCAAGUCUUCAUACCCAUAUCUUUCUAGUGAUUUGGUUAAAUUAUGCUCUCUUUCACAUACAAGAAUAAAAUCAUAUACUCCACCUAAAACUUUAGGUUCGUGGCCAACUUCAGUAUCAGAGUCUGGUUCCUCCUGUUGUUCAGGCACUACAUGUAUAUUGUUCAGUGGUUCCUUUUGUUUCUUGGAAGCAUCUCUUUUAGAUGUUGAUGCAUUUGUUGCAAGUGUAUGCUUCAACAUUAAAUGUUCAUAAAAAAAUCAUAUAUUUGUUUAUUACCAUCUUUCUUUUAGUCGAAUCUCAUAAGUUAAACCUCUUUACAAAUUUUGUGUAACCAAUAAAGACAUACUUCUUCGACUUUUGGUCAAGUUUGGAUCUAUCUUCACUGAAUAUAUGCAUAUAAGUUGGACACCCAAAAAUCCUGAAAUUAUCAAGAUUAAUAGAAUAACAUGUGUGAGAAUAUGUUCAUCAUCAAUCAUAGCUUUGUUUUGAUGAAAAUAAAAGCUUAUCUUAGUAGAAAGAUCAUAGAAGAUAAAGAUUGGAAUCAAAGUUUAAAGUUGCAUGAGCUUUGAAAUUAAGUUGAUUGGAUGAUUGGUCAAGGUACUUUAAUGGAAAUUCAUAUGUUUAUAUAAUAUUUAUAUGCUCAAGAAACUUCAUCUCAUCUUCUCUAAAGAUUUCCCAAUCAUUCAUGUUGCAUGCUCUUUCAAAUCAUGCAUUUUAAAAGGAAAAUUUUCAAAAAAUCACAUAAGUUGAACGAGUUGCAUAAAAAGUGCAACCGACUGCAUUUUGAGUAUGUCCAAGCAUUUUCAACGUGAUUUGUAAAAGCGGACCUGUUUGAAGAAAUUACGCAACUGGUUACACUUUCUGCAACGUUCACUUUUUCAAGGCAUUUUUCAAAAGUGCAAUAAGUUGCAAUAUUUAUGCAACUAGUUGCAUCUGAAACUUCUUGAAAAUUCUGAAACUUUUAGAUACUUCUUCAAUGCAACGAUUCAUCAUAACUUUUUCAAAUCAUUGUUAUAUGAAUCAUGACCAUUUUCAUUAAACAUUGUUAUUGUUUAAAGAGGUAUUUCCUUUUCUAUUUAAACCAGAUUUAUCAAUUUAAAAUUAUCUUUUCCACUCAAAUUUGUACACCAAUAAAUUUGUUUUACAUGAAACUUUUUCUACAAAACUUUCAUAUCAGUAAGAAAAGUUCCUAAGCAAUCUAGAUAUAUUAUAUUUGAAUUUUUUUAUUGAAAUGGGAGAUCAAUCUCUAUACAUAAAUGGAUUCAAGUGCAACAACUAUUCUCAUAUAUUCAUAUUUGUUUAUAAUUUUUAUUUGAUCACCAAGUGCGCGAGGAGUUGUUUUGUAAAUAGAAAGUGGUGUGCUUUAUAGUUUUUGUGAUCAUCAAAGUGUUUUUGUGUUUUUGGUGAAAUAUCCUUUGAAUCAGGGUGAUUUCAAAGUCCAACAUAGGUUUGGUGUUUGUGAAAUCAAUGAAGUGGUUUGCUUCUUUGUUAUUGUUAGAAGAUUGUAGGAUGAUUCUUGGUGUGAGGCCUGUACAAAGAUCUAACAAUAAUGAAAAUCUCUUAGAGAGUGUAAGGGGACUAGAUGUACCCUUAGUUGAUAAAGGGAACUAGUAUACAUCAUUUAAAUUUUGCACUUUAAUUCAAAGUUCAUACACUUAUUUUUGGAAAAAUAAGAACAUAAGAACCAUAUCUUUAAUAGUCUAAAAUAACGGAAAAUCUAAUUCACCCCCUUUAGAUCGCACUCAAUACUUACAUUUGGCAUCAAAGCAUGUUAUAAGUAACCUAUUCCUAAAGAUCUAAAAAUGGCUUCUGCAAAUCCAAUUUUUAUAGACGACGGUAGUAACAACAAACCUCCUUGUUUUGUUGGAUAAUAUUACGAUUUUUAGAAAAUUUGCAUGAGAGCGUAUCUUAAGGCAUAAGGCGAUGAUAUUUGGGAUGUUAUAGAAAAUGGUUCGUUCGUUCCCACAAGUGUUGUCACUGACGUUGGUACAUUCAAGACCAAAAGUGCCUGGGAUGAAAACGAUAAUAAAAAAAUUCUCUAUGACAAGAAGGCAAAUAACAUGCUUUAUAACUCUGAUUGGUACAUUAACACCAAUUAAUAAACUUUAAUUGAUUUUUAAUCCCGUUAUAAGUUAAAAAAGAAAAAGACGUUCCUUCAUAACUCUAAUGUUUUCUGAACACUUCUCACAAAUUGAUAAAAUAUCAUUUAUAAUUUACAAAUGCAAAACUCGAACUAGAGCCUCCAAUUCCUCGCCAAUGAUGUUCACAUUGUACAAACCAACAUCAAUUGAUGCCUUCAGCAAAACAUUCAGAUCUUUUGCUGCAAUCACAAACAAAAAUAACGAUAAAUAGUCUCCUUGGUGCAAACCCAUCCCUAAUGCAAACUCAUUUGUAAGACUACCAUUGACUAAGGUUGGCGCUGACGUUGAAACAUAAAUCAUGCAUUCCAUGAUUCAUUUUCUCCAUUUAAUUAAGAACCCCAUUUUACCCAUCAAUGUGUUCAAAUAUUUCCAUUCAAUUGAAUCAAGUUCUUUUUUGAAAUCUACUUUGACUAUAAUAUUUUUUUUACUAUUUAGCAUUAUCUGCCACCUCAAUUGACACAAGUAUACCACUUCACAAAUCACCUUCUCAAUAACUAAUUUAAAGUAGUUCUCCAAAAUUUAUGCAAACAUCUAACUAAAGAGAUUGUCCUAUCAAUAAUCACUCUUUGAGGACUAGUUACUCUAUGAAUUAACACUACAAAUAUGGAGUUAGAACCUUUGAAUAACUUCCCAUUUGAAUAAAGUUACAAAUACAACCUCAUAAGGGCUCCUUUAAUUUAUGUCCAGAAGUGUUUUAAAAAACUAAAAUUAAUUAAGUCAAGAUCUUAUAUUUUAAAACUAUCACGAUCUCAAACAUUUUAUUUUGCCACUUCCUCCUGACUAAAUAUUCUUUCCAUCAUGUAUGCUCAUUAGAGAUGAGGGAGAGGAAAUAGAGAUUUUCAAGACUUCAUCUAACUUAAUUAACCAGUUUAAAGUGAUUCUCAAAAUGAUUUAAAACUACUACACAAACACAUGUGACACCAUCCACCCAAGCUCCAUUAGCAUUUAAGUCGAGUAAUGGAUUUCUCCUCUUCCUACUGACAUGACAUGGAGAUUUUUUUUGAGUCCACAUAUCCAUCUUUAAGCCUUUGCACACAAGCCUUCUUCCAUUACAUACUACAAUUCAAUCUUGAUAGUGAAAAAGUUUAACAUGACACAUACCAAAUUUCUUCCUAUUUUAUAGCAAUGAGUAUGUCCACCUCCCCCUUACUAUCUAGGACAAACAUUCUCUUUUUUAGCUUCUUUUAGUCUUCCUUCAAUAUUCCUUCCAUGUUGUAAAUGUCACUUUCCUUUUACCAAUUUAAUUUUCUCCUUCAAAACAUACAAACCUUAUCUAAAUAUAUUGAAUAAACACCAUUUCUCAGUAACACGCUCUUUAUAACUCAAACAAAUCUGACCAACAAUUUAACUUGCGGAAAAGUUUAGGAUCCUAAUCCACCUUAUCCAUAGACAACAAGAUAUGACAAUGUACUUUAUUUGGUCACAAAAAAUAUCAUUCGUCGAUUAAAAGAAUUAUGUCGAAUCGACUCACCAACACCUCAUCACCUUGAAAGCAAGUGAAACAUCUCCUUUUAAUAGGCAAGUCAACCAACAUAGCAUCUUGAAUAGAAUUAUUGAUGUUUCAGAUGUAUUCAUUUAUCACAAAUUUACCUUUACCCUUCUCAUCAAAUUAUAUCUCGAUUGGAUUGAAAUUACCACACACACCCUAAAGGACUUUUAUGAUUACUAAUAUAAAUGCUGAUAUAAACGUUAGCCACAUAAAACAAUUGCUCCACCUUGUUGAAAUACCUGUAAACACAAUUAACACGUGGUAAAAAAUAACCAAUGAUAUCACAUCCAUAAAAUUAGAAUCUCAUAAUACUAAAAUGCAUUCUGGCCGAGGGCUUAAAAAAAGUUCAUCCCUAAAUUACCCUCAAUGUCGUCGCUAAAAACUCCUCUAUCACUUCUAAUUUCGUCUUUUAAAGGCACACACAAUCAAACUUUUUAUCUUUAAUUAAACUUAAAGUUUUAUUCUAUUUUGCCACCCCGAUAACUCUAAUGCUAUAACUAAUUAUCUCCUUUGUUUCCACAUCACAGAUAUACACACCACCCCAUACACAACUAACCACAUCCUACUGACUUCACCUUCCAAGCACCCCUUUUAAUUUUUUUAAACUAUUUUCUACUCCCUAAUAAUAUUUCUCCCUCCUUUAAAAUUAACGAAAAAAUGAUCUCUAACUCGUCAAACAUCAUUUAGUACAACCUCUUUGUCAUCAUGGAUUAUUCAGAUUUCCACUUUUAAACAAAAGAAAUUAACUCGAAUAAAGUGUCAUUCAUCUUAAAUAGAAGUUGACUUACUUAUUUCUUUGAUUUACAAUCUUAUAAUAUGUUGGGGUGUUCAAAACUGAGUCGGUCCAAUAGAAAACCAAUAAUUUUCUCUUUCUUACACUUAAGAUUUCAAUUUCAACAUUCUCUAAUCUCUUCAAAUAGUAUCACAUAUGCUACUAUAAUGGUGUAAUGUAAUGUACUAAUACUAUUGUCUAGAAUUCCGUUUUGCUUUGUAAUACACAUUGUAAUUUUGUUAUUUAAAUUCUUUUAUUAUUUGAUGUUGAAAUGAUGUUUGACAUUAUUAUUUAUUAUUCGAUAAUGUACAAAUGAUUAAAUAUAAAAUUAUAUUAUUUUAUAUAUAUAAUUCAAUAAAAAUCUAAUAAACAUUUGAAUGAAUCCAAAUCAAAUAAUAUUGCAAUUUAAAUGUCCGAACACUAACUUAUAAGCCGCAAAUGUUACAGUAUUCGUCUUCAAUUAUUAUUUACACAUAGUCGUUACUAAUAGUACUACUACUAUAUUUUAUCAUUUGAGGCGUUAAAAAUAGUUACGUUAAUACACCAAAGGUACGGAAAAAUAAAUCCAUUAAAUUUACUAAUCAUUUUCUUAUAAUAAGUGGGGAAGAGUGCUUAUAGUAAUUAAGGACUAAGAGAAUACAUUAAUGAAUAGAAUCUUAUAAACGAAUCCCAAGUUUAAUCCCAAAAGCAAAAAAAGUAGUAUAAAACUGUCAUUAGUUAACUUAUAAUCAAAUUAUUCCACGUAUAUAUACUACCUUUUAUUUUAUAUUUUAUAUUCACGUCUAAAUACUCUGGAUUAUACGCAAGGAAUAGAUUACACAUAAAUGUGCCUAAUAUAAACGAUUACACAUAAAUGCUAGACGAAAAAUAUUUAAAGCAAACCCAAAAAAAAGAAGAAAAAGAUUACAAGUAAAUAAUGUUGCGUGUUUUUGGAUCUGUUUAAUAAUGAUAAGGCGGUAUAUAUAUAAUGAAAGAGAGAUACAAAUACAAAGCUGGCAAAUGAAGUAAAGUUAGCAACAACAAUCCAAACAGUUUGGACCCAACCGGAAUUAGCGCUCUUCUUCUCCAUUCACAAUUGCUUCUUCCCAAAUCAUCAACAAUCCCACUCACCAAAAACCCUAAUUCUCCAUUUUCCUCUCACAAUUCACGAUCGGAUUCGUUGAGAACGGGAAAAUUCAAUUCAGCCGUCGGCGAUCUGGUUCAUCUGUUGAUCUGUUGGUUGUUGGUUCGAUCGGCAUUACUCGAUCUUGUUCCGGAAUUGUGCGAUUCAGACGCGGAUUUUGUUUUCAGAUCAGCGGAUUAUUUCAAUGCUUGUAGGUGUAGCUAAGAUUCAUGGUAUUACGAUAGGUUAUGGUGUUUAUAAUUACGAUUUAGUUUGAUUUUUGGAAAUCUCGCUUUCUGUACGUUGAAUUCAGUGGGAGUUUCACGAUUUUGGACAUGAGAAGCUCUUUGUCGAAUAAAUUGUGGAUGAUUCUCGGCCCUAAACCGCCAGUGAACUGGUUGAUAUUGUGCGUGAUUAGUGUUCUGGCUUUGAUUAUAGUGUUGGGUUCGUCGUCUUCCAAUGCUAUUGAUUCCUCGCCGAGGAGACCGGCUUCUCUUAUCUAUACAAACUACAGGAGGAUAAAAGAGCGGGUGGCAGUUGAUUAUUUGGAGCUGAAAUCUGUUUCGACCGGUGGUUUGAGGCAAAGGGAGUUAGGGCUUUGUGGAAAAGAAAGGGAAAAUUUCGUGCCAUGCCAUAAUAUCACUGCCAAUUCGGCGUCAGGAUUUGAGCAGGGGGAGGAGCUGGAUCGGCACUGCCAAGUGUUGAAGGAAGAAGAUCAAUGUUUGGUUCGUCCUCCCAAGGAAUAUAAAAUUCCCUUGCGCUGGCCCAGUGGCAGAGAUAUUAUAUGGAGUGGGAAUGUGAAGAUAACCAAAGAUCAAUUUCUUUCGUCCGGAAGUAUGACCAAAAGGUAAUUACUUACUUUAGAUGCAUUGUAAUUGGUAAAUUUGUGAAAAAUUGUCACCGAAAUUUGUAACCCUUGUAAGUUGUAACUAUUGAUUGAUUGAUUGAAUGUUUUUUAAUUUUGGAUGAUAGACUGCUCUAGUGAAAGUAAUGUAGUUUUUUUUUUUAUCAGUUCUUUCUGGGCUGUGAUUCCUAAAAUUGUUGAUAUGGUUUAUCUAGGUUGAUGCUACUAGAAGAGAAUCAAAUUGCCUUUCACUCAGAGGAUGGUAUGAUCUUUGAUGGUGUGAAAGAUUACUCUCGCCAAAUUGCAGAGAUGAUAGGGCUAGGAAGUGAUACAGAGCUUCCUCAAGCUGGUGUAAGUCUUCCAUUCACCAUAUUCGAGCAAUUGUUGUUUUCUGGGGAUUCAUAGUGUUUUACGAGGACAGGGUUUAUGCAUAAUAGAGUACUGUAAGGAAGAUUAUGCUAUUAAGCUACCUAUAUCCUCUUCUUGAUUCUCAUCAAGGACUGUGGUCUUUAGGUUGCAUAAUAUAUGUUACUGAUCUAUUUAGCUCAUAAUAUAACAGGUUCGAACAACGCUGGACAUUAAUUGUGGAUUUGGUAGCUUUGGAGCUCAUUUGUUGUCACUUAACAUAAUGGCGGUUUGUGUUGCGGGAUAUGAGGCAACUGGCAGCCAAGUUCAAUUGUCUCUUGAGAGAGGCCUUCCUGCCAUGAUUGGCAACUUCAUUGCAAGACAGCUUCCGUAUCCAUCAUUAUCAUAUGACAUGAUUCACUGUGCUCAAUGUGGCAUCAUUUGGGAUGAAAAGGGUAACUUUAUAGUUAUGAGCAUUACUCUUUCAUUCUUAGCUGAAUGGAUUUCCUUAUAGACUUCAUAAAGCUCAACCCUCUUUGUCAGUAUGGUAUUUUACAUACAAACAGAUUCAUAUGUCAUAUUUUUUGUAAAAUUAAUAUUUUAAAUUUAAGUUGUAGUAUUUGUCAAAGCUUGUAUUUGAUGACAAAUAAGAUAGAAAAAGGUGUAGCGUGUAUGUAUUUAUUAAUAUCUUGCUUAUAGCAUAAAUAUGUUUGGAUUUAUUAAAUCACAGGUGUUUUGUUUUAAUUAAUUUGUUUUUCACCAAUCAAAUCGAUGAUCUAAACAGAUGUACAAAAUCUUUCUAUAACAAUGAAUUAAUGAUGCCGCUCUAUUUUCUUCCAUUCACUCUAUAUUACUGUCAUUUCCUUUUUUCACCCUUCCCUGACUAUUCUAUAACAUACUGGAUAUUGUUUAGCUUCUGUAUCAAAUGCUGCACUUUGGUCUCUAAUAUUGACUUUAUCCUACAGAUGGAAUGUUCCUCAUAGAAGUUGACCGUGUUCUUAAACCCGGAGGAUAUUUCGUUUUAACAUCACCUACAAGCAAGCUACCGGGUUCAUCGCGGGAGAAAAAGAGAAUCACGUUGAAUCCUUUGCAAGAGCUGACCCAGGAACUAUGUUGGACGCUUCUAGCCCAGCAAGACGAGACUUUCGUCUGGCAGAAGACUGCUGACCUGAAUUGUUAUGAAUCACGGUAAGGAUAUUCGUAUUAGUGUAGGUGAUAUUAAUGGUAAAUGUUGAUUAUCAAUAGAUUGUUUAUUCAAGAUGACUAGUAGUAUCAAGUAUACUAUCAACUAUUGCUAGUUAUGAUAUUGUCUCUCUCUGUUGAUCACUGACUACAAUAGUAUAACCUCUAGCUUUUCUGUGAUAUUUGUUUCUUUAUUGCAGCAAGCAGCAUACUAUUCAACUAUGUAAAGAAGGGGAUGAUACUCAAUCAUACUAUAAGCCUCUUGUGUCAUGUAUAAGUGGGACAUCUAGCAAGCGCUGGAUUGCAAUACAGAACCGAUCCUUUGAUUCUGAAUUGAGUUCAGCUGAGCUUGAAAUUCAUGGAAAGUAUUAUUUCUUAGAAGCUUUCUGCUUACAAUUUACAUGCUCUUCAUUCCCUGAUAUUUUCCCCCAUUUUAUUCUGCUUUUCCUUUUCAUGAAUUUCCCUUAAUUAUUGCAGGAGUUCAGCCUGAAGACUUUUACGAAGACAUGCAUUUCUGGAGAUCAGCUGUUAGUAAUUAUUGGUCCCUGCUUACACCACUAAUUUUCUCUGACCAUCCAAAGAGACCUGGAGAUGAAGAUCCAUUGCCUCCAUAUAAUAUGAUUCGGAAUGUUAUGGAUAUGUAUUCUAGUUAUGGGGGUUUGAAUGCUGCACUGCUGGAGGAGAAAAAGUCAGUGUGGGUCAUGAAUGUUGUUCCUGCCAGGGCUACUAAUGCACUUCCUCUCAUACUAGAUAGAGGUUUUACAGGUGUUAUGCAUGACUGGUAAGUUGCUAUUUGUUCAUGAUGUAGACAAGUUGUUGUGUAUGAUCCAGACAAAGUUUCUCUAUGAUUUAAAAGUUGACUGGAGAUAAGAUUAUUUUGGCCGAGGGUGCUAAACCGAUAAUACCACUAGAGCCUGAUAAAUGUAUUUCUCUUGCAUCAUCACUGGCAAUGCUUAUGACAAACAACAAAACAGUAGUUGCUAGUUGGAAAAGUAACACUAAUUUUAGUUAAUUUACUUCAAAAGAUAUUGAUAUUCAUGAUUAUUUUAUUGCUGAAAAUGGUUCAGCAGUGUUUGGUAAAAAGUGUGCAAAAUAAUCCCCUAGCAACUUCUUGUUUUGUAAAAAUUACAUGACAUUUAAUGCAAGACUCAUUAGUUUCAUCAAUAUGUCAAUAAUUUCCUUUAGUAAACAUACUACAUGUACGGUGCUGAAGUUUCAGUACCACAUCUUAUGUUUCUUUUAUCCAAAUCACUCUUAGCUUUCUUAAUUUUGUUUUCCUUUUGAGAAUGAAUUUGAAGCUAAAUGUAGCAUUCACCUGAUUUCUUGGAUUGAAAUUCCACCUAUUUUAGUGCAAAACCCAAUUCUAAAGAAAAUCUUCUGCAGUUUUGUAGUUCCAUCUCUAAAUUUUCUUUUCUUUGGAAUUCAUUGACAAAGCUCUUUGUAAAAUAAUGUUAAUUCGUAUGAGCUUCGAGCUAGUUGUUUUGUUUCUAACUAUUGAUUUAUUGAUAUUCAGGUGUGAACCUUUCCCCACCUACCCGCGGACAUAUGAUAUGCUUCAUGCAAAUGGACUUCUGUCACAGUUCAUUUCAGAACGAUGCAGCCUGAUGGACUUAUUCUUGGAGAUGGAUAGGAUACUACGACCAGAGGUAUGAUCAUGGUGUUUGUAUUCCUUUACACAAUUGUGCUUUAAAGUUUCAUCAUUGAUUUUAUUAAGAUUUAGCAGAACAUUGAUCUGGUACUUUCCGUCCUCUUCCUUUCUGACCCUUUUUUUGGCACAACCUCCACAAAGGAUGAUCUCAUCUUGGCAGAUGAUUGUUUAGAAGCCAGUUGACUCUAAUGAAGCAGGCUCAUUGUUGUUAUGAUUCCCAUAUGAAAUACUAUGUUGAAUUUGUGUGUUUUUUUAUACAACUAGUUGUCGAUUUCCGUGUAAUUUAAAAGGUCUAUGAAGCCUAAUUUAUUAUUACACUUAAUUAUUUUUGUAGGGAUGGAUCAUUCUUUCUGACACAGUGGGAACAAUUGAAAUGGUACGCACGCUUGCAACUCAAGUACGCUGGGAAGCAAGGAUAAUCGAUCUUCAGAAUGGCAGUGACCAGCGGUUACUUGUAUGCCAGAAACCAUUUUUGAAAAAAUGAUUGGACACUAAUAUAUUUCACCAAUCACCAUGACAGAUGAACACAAUUUUUUUGCUCUGGUAAUUUCUCUAGACUCUUUUUCUCUUUCUACAACAUGGUAAAUUUUCUUGUUUUGGUAAAUAUAGGUAGCAUUUAAGUUAAGUAUAAAAUUAAAUAUUAUGGUUGCAAUAAAAGAAACUUGUGCAAUUCAUGCCGGAAGCAAGGUUCAUGAUGUGGAUUCCUUUAGGGACCAGUCAUGUUUAUUUUGUGAGGGCUCUAUAGUGGUCCUAUAUGUCUCAUCCUGUAAUAUUGUUGGAUCAAAAGCGUCCAUGAUAACUCAAGUCUUCCUAGAAACUCAGCAAUUCAGAUAAUGGUGUUUAUAUUGACAGCUAUGGAUUUGCGUAGCUAUAACAUACAUCUGAAAUAAUGUCACUAUUUAUACAAUUUCAGGGAAUGGAUUGUUUUAAUUGGGACGUGUAUAUAUAGAGCUCAGAGCCUUGACUUCAAUAUUUACCACAACUGGGUCUAGAUAUUGAAGCUGUAGAUUGUGAAGGUUCAUGUUGAAUUUAGUUACAGUUAAUUUUUUUUUUGUCAAUGUUUGUAGUAAUUCAUUCAUCCAAUAUCUUGUUAGCAUUUCUUUUAUUAUUCUUUAUUUCUUUUUUGAUCAUUGAACUUCUAGCAUUUAUGUUGAACAAUCACAAGUUUUUGAGAAAGAAAGUGAAUGGCCGUGAAAUUCAAGAAUGAACUUGAGAUAGUA
Molecule: long non-coding RNA, 12795 nt
Filed under: Lathyrus oleraceus (garden pea)
Lineage: Eukaryota; Viridiplantae; Streptophyta; Magnoliopsida; Fabales; Fabaceae
Description: Pisum sativum (pea) long non-coding RNA (PSAT_LNC029431)
Source: RNAcentral